UGCCACGAGGGCCCUCGUUAGCUGUCUCUUUGAAGAGCCCAGUGCCCUUGUUCUCCUUCAGGACGCGGAGGGAAAAGAGGGUCCCUAAUGCCAUCUGGACCGUCGUGGAGAGUCACUCUCAUGUGCCUUCCAUCCAGGCAGUGCCUCCAGGGCCAGGCCUUCACGACCCCGAACCACCUGUAUCCACCCUAUUCAGUGUCUUCAUCUUCCAAGGUCCCAGAUUUCUGAAGCCCUAGGGCUGCCUGUCUUGGUGGCCACCACAUGGGCACUCUAGCUCCCAUCGCCUUGCCAGGAAGGGAGCCACCUGCCAUUCCUCCUUCAUCUCACAGCUUGGAAGGUGAACCAUGCACCAGGGAAAUGGAAUCUGCAGAGAUGCAUUUCCUGCACCUUAGGCCAUCCCUGCAUCCCUUCAAUCUCAGGAUUCUCCAUCAUCUCCUGCUGGGUGCUCUGAGGACACAGCCUGUGCAGAAACAGAACCAGGCAACACUACCCAGGAGCAUUUGGUGGGUGCUGGGGAAGUACUUCCCCACGAUGCUAAUGAUGGCAACUUGGCGCUGAGAAGCUCGUUAGCAAAAGCAUUGAAGACGCCUGCCAUAGCUUUCAAAUGCUGACAAUCCGUAAAUUGAAAUUAACAACGAAUAAAAAGAUAAGGAAAGCGCA
Molecule: long non-coding RNA, 660 nt
Filed under: Felis catus (domestic cat)
Lineage: Eukaryota; Metazoa; Chordata; Mammalia; Carnivora; Felidae
Description: lncRNA (ENSFCAG00000052346.1)
Source: RNAcentral